This 940-nucleotide ribosomal RNA is filed under the name Staphylococcus epidermidis. RNAcentral's name for it is "bacterial SSU rRNA". It matches the Rfam family "Bacterial small subunit ribosomal RNA", at positions 8 to 929 of the family's 1533-position model. Lineage: Bacteria; Bacillati; Bacillota; Bacilli; Caryophanales; Staphylococcaceae. The record is from RNAcentral.
AGAGUUUGAUCAUGGCUCAGGAUGAACGCUGGCGGCGUGCCUAAUACAUGCAAGUCGAGCGAACAGACGAGGAGCUUGCUCCUCUGACGUUAGCGGCGGACGGGUGAGUAACACGUGGAUAACCUACCUAUAAGACUGGGAUAACUUCGGGAAACCGGAGCUAAUACCGGAUAAUAUAUUGAACCGCAUGGUUCAAUAGUGAAAGACGGUUUUGCUGUCACUUAUAGAUGGAUCCGCGCCGCAUUAGCUAGUUGGUAAGGUAACGGCUUACCAAGGCAACGAUGCGUAGCCGACCUGAGAGGGUGAUCGGCCACACUGGAACUGAGACACGGUCCAGACUCCUACGGGAGGCAGCAGUAGGGAAUCUUCCGCAAUGGGCGAAAGCUUGACGGAGCAACGCCGCGUGAGUGAUGAAGGUCUUCGGAUCGUAAAACUCUGUUAUUAGGGAAGAACAAAUGUGUAAGUAACUAUGCACGUCUUGACGGUACCUAAUCAGAAAGCCACGGCUAACUACGUGCCAGCAGCCGCGGUAAUACGUAGGUGGCAAGCGUUAUCCGGAAUUAUUGGGCGUAAAGCGCGCGUAGGCGGUUUUUUAAGUCUGAUGUGAAAGCCCACGGCUCAACCGUGGAGGGUCAUUGGAAACUGGAAAACUUGAGUGCAGAAGAGGAAAGUGGAAUUCCAUGUGUAGCGGUGAAAUGCGCAGAGAUAUGGAGGAACACCAGUGGCGAAGGCGACUUUCUGGUCUGUAACUGACGCUGAUGUGCGAAAGCGUGGGGAUCAAACAGGAUUAGAUACCCUGGUAGUCCACGCCGUAAACGAUGAGUGCUAAGUGUUAGGGGGUUUCCGCCCCUUAGUGCUGCAGCUAACGCAUUAAGCACUCCGCCUGGGGAGUACGACCGCAAGGUUGAAACUCAAAGGAAUUGACGGGGGCCCGCACAAG